This 116-nucleotide ribosomal RNA is filed under the name Pseudomonas fluorescens. The record is from RNAcentral. RNAcentral also lists the same sequence under 7 other names. Lineage: Bacteria; Pseudomonadati; Pseudomonadota; Gammaproteobacteria; Pseudomonadales; Pseudomonadaceae.
UGACGACCAUAGAGCGUUGGAACCACCUGAUCCCAUCCCGAACUCAGCAGUGAAACGAUGCAUCGCCGAUGGUAGUGUGGGGUUUCCCCAUGUGAGAGUAGGUCAUCGUCAAGAUU